CAGGUAGCCCGGAGUCGCCGGA
RNAcentral lists this unclassified non-coding RNA (22 nucleotides) under Mus musculus (house mouse). Its description in RNAcentral is "oocyte_clustered_small_RNA11381". Lineage: Eukaryota; Metazoa; Chordata; Mammalia; Rodentia; Muridae. The record is from RNAcentral.